AGGGGCGUGGUUCAAUGGUAGAAUAGGGGUCUCCAAAACCUUUGACGUGAGUUCGAUUCUUACCGCCCCUG
RNAcentral lists this transfer RNA (71 nucleotides) under Oscillospiraceae bacterium. Its description in RNAcentral is "tRNA-Trp". It matches the Rfam family "tRNA". Rfam says of the family: Transfer RNA (tRNA) molecules are approximately 80 nucleotides in length. The record is from RNAcentral. Lineage: Bacteria; Bacillati; Bacillota; Clostridia; Eubacteriales; Oscillospiraceae.